ACCGCCCUCCUUCUCUCCGUGCGCUGCUUUCAGUCACAGAAUCACGGAAUAGACUGGGCUGAGAAAGGGCCGGGAGGUCAUCCAGUCCUCAGCCGGGAGGUCAUCCAGUCCAGCCUGUGAGCGAACACCACCAUGUCAGCUAGACCACGGCACGAAGUGCCACGUCCAGUCUUUCCUUAAACACUUCCAAGGACGGUGACUUCACCGCUUCCCUGGUCAGCCCAUUCCAGUAUCGAGUCGCCCUUUCUGUGAAGAAUUUUUUCCUAAUGUCCAACCUGAACCACCUAUGAUGCAGCUUAGCACUAUGUCCUCUCAGCCUGUCGCUGGUUGUCCGGGAGGAGAGACCGACGCUCACCCGGCUACAACUUCAUUGGAGGGAGCUGUUGAGGGCUAUAAUGUCACCUCCGAGCCUCCUUCUCUCCCGGGGGACUAAGCAUCCCCAGGUCUGUCAGCUGCUCCUUCUAAGAUUUCUGCUCCAGACUCUUCAGCCAUUCCAUUCCCCCCUCUCUGGACUUGCUCCAGUACCCAAAUAUCGUUCUUGGAUUGACGAGCCCAAAACUGGAUGCAGAAUCCAAGAUGCGGCAGUGCUUGGGUGAGACCCAAGGGGUCCUGGAACCCCUGGGCCAGAAAGGUGAACUGUAGUCCCACCUUGCCUCAUUGAUAGCCAAAAGAAGAUAUGGACUCGUGAGGAGGACCCUGGAUCAACUGCUGUGUCUUAAGAGCUUUUUUCAGCUGUUUUCCCCCUUUUUUUAAAGAUAAGAAUCUCACAAGCAUUCUCAGUAUGAUUUUAUAAUGCAUGCAUGCAGUAAUUCAAGAUACAAUAAGCACAUGGUAGUUCAAAGUAAAAUAACACACUCAGCUUUUUUUUCCCCAGUAAUUAAGACAUGUCAGGUUUGCUCUGCAUUCUUUGACAGUUUAUUCAUAUUUGGCCUGCUUACAUUAAAUCAGCAGCGCUUUUGAGUUACUGAUAGAACUCCACCAGCUUCACUGGUGUCACGUUUUCCCUCUCCCAGUAAUUUUUCAAAAUUACUUUUUGUUCUUUUCUACUAAUAAUGAAUUUGUUUUCUGUAUUUGAGUAGGAUGAAUUUUUAUUCUAGUCAAUCUGAAAUUCAAUUCAUCAAAAAUAUGUCAUGUUUUUUAGGGGAAAAAAAGUUUAUUCUUACUUUCACAAUAUAAGCAGUGUGUAUUUCAAUCAUAUAUAGUCAAACUUUAAGUGAAGAUUAUUAAUAGUGUGGUUUAUAGUUCCUAUCAGCUCUGCAUACUUUCCAUCUGAUUAUUUGAAAUUUGUUCUUUAGGAACACUUUAAUUUUCAGUCUGAGACAGUAUAGCCUUAAAUAACCAGUGUUGUCCCUCGGAUCACCUUUGAUCUUUAAUUCAUGUUUCAUAAACACCUUUAAGGAAACUGAAAUACAUUAUUAUGAAGUAAGCAUAGAUUUUCCAGGCAGUGACUGUUUCCAUAAAUGUAAUGUUCUCAGAACAAAAAUUGCUAUUUUUUAAUAUAUACAGACUUUAUUAAUAUUAGCCUGAUGUUGAUUUCUUGAGUGAAUUUACAAUGAAGACCCAUAGAGAAUCAUAGAAUAGUUUGGGUUGGAAGGGACCCUAAAUAUCAUCAAGUUCCAACCCCCAAUCUUAUCUCAGGAUGACAAAGCCUUAAAAUUAUGGAGUAAGUCACAUAUUUUCAGCCUAAAUGUGUUUGUUGCAAAAAGAACACAUAUUCUGUGACUUACAUCCUGCCAAUUCUGUUGUCUUCAUUUGCCACACACUAAGAGCUUGUAGAAAAGGAAAGAGGGUUUUAUUGAUAUGUAUGUCAUAUACCUCUUUUUCAUAUAGGUAUAACAGCACCAAAGAGUUUAUUCAGGGCAUUUUGUUUGAAUUAAAUUUCAACCAUGGAGUUCUUUGGGUACCAUGGUGGUGCAUGUCUUAAAUACAUCAUAGGAUAUCAUGAGGUGUUAUAGUUCAGCCAUGUAAGCCCUUUGUCUUGUGAGUUCUUUAUCAUGGCAGAUACAGCUAUUAAUUAGAACAUUCAAAUUUAGGGAGCAUUAAUAAUGUUUCGGUGUUUCUUUUCACAUUUGUAGUUAAUGUCUUUUACACAUCAUUAUUAUUUUCAGGAUGCUGUCUAGCAAGGAAGAAGCAUUUGUCACAAAGAACAGCACUUAUGAAACUGGAGAGAUGGAAGAUCACAAAAUCAUAGUUAGUUUAGUUUCCUGGUUACUGUAAAAAGAAGAUUAAAUCACACAGGUACUCCAUCAAGACAUUCUGCAGGGUUACCUGCAUGACACAGAGUGGCUCUCUGGGGCACACCCAGCUAACACAAGCAGAACUGAACAGUCUGAACAGAAGAGGAUGCUUUCCCAAUGUUGUCUUUACAAAAUGGGAAAUAAGGAUCCUCAAAGGCAUAAUGUGCUUGUACUUUGAAAACAUACUGAGAACAGAGGAAAUAUAUAUUUGUACAGGUACAUGAUCAAAACAAGCACAAGAUGCUUUAGCUUUUCUUCUUACCUGAAGAAGUUAUGUGGUCUAAAAAUCAGGGUUAUUCUGUAGACAAGUCUCUUGUUACAUCCCCAGUAGCUGAAUUUUUAGACAUUGUCUUUGGCAUUUCUUUGGCACAUAGUCCAAAGGACCAUAGUCCUUUCUUUUCUACACAGUUGUUGUCUGAGUGAAUACUAUAUAUUUCCAUAGGAAUUUCAGACAUCUGGCAGCUGAGUUGAAAUAUACUUCUCUCUCUGUUUGGUGUGUCCCUUCCCUCUACCUUGCCCUGGGUCUGCAUUGAGCUUCUUUGAAUUGUUGGGCAAUACAACGUUCUUAUCUCCUCUUUGCUUUGACAUCCCCUGCACCCUGGAUAUUUUCUGCAGAACUUUUCAUCAUCCCCUCAGUGUGUUCAUUCUUCCUGAGAGUGAUAACUUGCACUUGCCUUCACAUGAGUGUAUUGUAAAUUCCUCAACCCAUUUUUUUGGUUGGUCAAGAUUCAAUACUAGUCCUGUCCUUCAAUAUACUUUCCUGGCUUUCUGACAUGUGCAAUUUUAAUAAGCAUGCUCUCAAAACAGCUCAGCAGUAAAAAUUACAUGAAUGAGUUAAUCUAAGAGGUGGAAGAGAUCUGAAGAAUGGUAUUUAGUAUAUCCUGUCAACUCAUGCUAACUCCUCUGGAAAUGUUUUACAGUCAUUUUUUUGCACCCAUCUUGCAAACGUGCAAUAGCAACAAUAGCAAAAUAGCUUUAUCUUUUCUAUGGCCCUGGUUCAUCAUUCCUGACUUUAGAGGCUUAACCUGGAGAGUAGUUGCCUAAGGCUAAUUUCAUAGUCAAUAAUUAAGGGAAAGACAGCAGGUCCUUCAAGUUGUUCUUUGAAGUUGCCUUUCUCUUCACUGAAAGGAAGGAACAUGGCGUAACCUUUGUCCUAAUUUAAGUGUACUUCAGUUAGUGUCUGUGAAGUCAAUCAGAUGAAGUGGCAUAUGUGAUGGUUUCUGACAGUGUCAGGGUGGGCCAUGGAGAAGGACGGUGUCAGCCAAGACAAGCUAAGUCACGUGUGCUGUGUUCCCAUUAGCUACAGGUUUUGUCACUGCUGGAGAGGUAGAUAAAGUCGGUUUGACUUGUCUGGGCAGACUGCUUGUUUGCUUUUGCUUCAGUUUCUGGUAUUUUAAAUUAUAUAGAAAUCUGUUCAGAAUAUUUUCAAUAUUUGUAAUAACUUCAAUUUCACUAAACUGACAGUGGCUAAUUGAUAUAUACCAAUUCUACACCAAAACCAGCAAGCUGGAGCAGAAAGUUGAAGAGUGAUCCCAGAGCAUUUCAUCUUUUAAUUUGCUUUCAGCCCUAAGAAUCAUCCUCUAUGCUUAAUUUAAGAGUGGAGCUUUACUGACAAGUUAUAGCCUCCAGGAACGGGACUGACUGUGGAAACAGGCUAACCAAAGUCAGUUCUAAACACUGCUACAGACUGUCACAAGUUUAAUAUGGGUUCAAAGCCAGCUUUCUCUAACUCCAUUGAAGAUAUUAUUGGGAAUAAUUCUUUCUAAAUGCACUUCUAAAAAGCUUUAGCUAGAGUGCACACAGCUUAACUGGUCUCAGCCACCGGAGUUCUGUUUUUUCAAUGAUUAUAGUUACCUGGACAAAAAUCCUCACUCUACAGUUUAAAUGACUAAGGGCGUUGGUGUCAGCAUAAGCCUGUGGAGAAAGCUUCUCUUUGUGUCAUUUUUAUAUGAAUAAUAACAGCUGAUGUGCAGAAUAUUUUUAAUAUCAGAGUGGGAGGAUAUGAGAACCCCAGGUGCAGUUUCUGAGGUGCAGCUUACAAGUUUAAUGGUGUUACUAGAAUCUGAAAAUUCACAGCUUUUUAUGUUGGUAAUGGAGGUGGGUUUGGACCCCUCUGAACAGAUGUAACAAAUUCAUUGCACAUUUACCAGCUGAAUAAUUUCUUAGCAUACCACUCAGUGUACAGUACCUGGUAGCUUCCAUGAUAAAUUGUAGAGCAUCAAUCUCCCAUUCUAUCUUUAGAAAAUCUAGUGAUUUAUUUUUAUUUGGUUUGGUAGCUUUUUUUAAAUGUUUUAUAUGCUGCCCCAGUACCUCAUCAAAAUUGCACAUCCUUUCUAAAUUUCUUUACAUGAAGGUAUAAUUUUUAGCACAGCCUUUGCAAGGAUUUUGUAAAGAGAUUUUGACUUUUUUUAAAAUGUCUCCAUAAUUAUGGAUUAGACUUAAGUUUGGAUUUGGAAGUCAUGUUUAAGUUCAAAAGAUUCCCAAUGUUACAGCUGAUUCUUUACUGGCCUAUUGAUAUAUACUAAAGAUGUCAUGUAAUAUUAAAUCUGAGACUAUCAAAUACUGACGGAAGUGAAAUAAUAAGCUAAAGUUGCUGCUUACAAACUAGGCUGAAGCAACAGUGUUUUAUUAAUCUCAUUGUGUUGUUUUGUUAAAAAUCACAGGAAAGCACUUUGCUUCUUUAUAGGCCAAAAAUUAGACCUUUCUUGGGGUCCUGUCUUCUUCUAGGCCAGAAGGAGUUUUCCACUGAAUUAAUUUUGCAGAAUGUUCUGUAGUGAAAUGAGCCCACAGGAGAAGCAGCUAAUGCAAUUCCUGUUUAAAAAAUAAAUAAAUCGAGCAUGAGCUUUAACUA
Molecule: long non-coding RNA, 5088 nt
Organism: Parus major (Great Tit)
Lineage: Eukaryota; Metazoa; Chordata; Aves; Passeriformes; Paridae
Exons: 2
Source: RefSeq, a predicted model, not a curated record